AGAGUUUGAUCAUGGCUCAGGAUGAACGCUAGCGGCAGGCUUAAUACAUGCAAGUCGAGGGGCAGCAUGAGUGUAGCAAUACAUUUGAUGGCGACCGGCAAACGGGUGCGGAACACGUACAGAACCUUCCUUCGAGCGGGGAAUAGCCCAGAGAAAUUUGGAUUAAUACCCCAUAGUAUAUUGGUAAGGCAUCUUAUUAAUAUUAAAGAUUUAUCACUUGAAGAUGGCUGUGCGUCUGAUUAGGUAGUUGGCGGGGUAACGGCCCACCAAGCCUUCGAUCAGUAACUGGUGUGAGAGCACGACCAGUCACACGGGCACUGAGACACGGGCCCGACUCCUACGGGAGGCAGCAGUAAGGAAUAUUGGUCAAUGGACGCAAGUCUGAACCAGCCAUGCCGCGUGGAGGAUGAAGGUCCUCUGGAUUGUAAACUUCUUUUAUCUGGGAAGAAAAAAGGGAAUUCUUUCCCGUCUGACGGUACCAGAUGAAUAAGCACCGGCUAACUCCGUGCCAGCAGCCGCGGUAAUACGGAGGGUGCAAGCGUUAUCCGGAUUCACUGGGUUUAAAGGGUGCGUAGGUGGGUUGCCAAGUCCGUGGUGAAAUCUCCGAGCUUAACUCGGAAACUGCCAUGGAUACUGGUGAUCUUGAAUGCCGUGGAGGUCAGCGGAAUAUGUCAUGUAGCGGUGAAAUGCUUAGAUAUGACAUAGAACACCGAUUGCGAAGGCAGCUGGCUACACGAAUAUUGACACUGAGGCACGAAAGCGUGGGGAUCAAACAGGAUUAGAUACCCUAGUAGUCC
This 797-nucleotide ribosomal RNA is filed under the name uncultured bacterium. Its description in RNAcentral is "bacterial SSU rRNA". It matches the Rfam family "Bacterial small subunit ribosomal RNA", at positions 8 to 796 of the family's 1533-position model. The record is from RNAcentral.